This 1253-nucleotide ribosomal RNA is filed under the name uncultured bacterium. Its description in RNAcentral is "bacterial SSU rRNA". It matches the Rfam family "Bacterial small subunit ribosomal RNA", at positions 1 to 1282 of the family's 1533-position model. The record is from RNAcentral.
UAGAGUUUGAUCAUGGCUCAGGAUAAACGCUGGCGGCGUGCCUAAUACAUGCAAGUCGAACGAGGGCGGCCAAGCUUGCUUGGCCAAACGAGUGGCGAACGGGUGAGUAACACAUAAGCAACCUGCCCACGGAGACCGGGAUAAUCUCUGGAAACGGGGACUAAAACCGGAUAGGUAGCACAGCCGCAUGGUAGUGCUAUUAAAGGUGAGAGACACUGGUGGAUGGGCUUAUGGCGCAUUAGCUAGUUGGUGAGGUAAAGGCCCACCAAGGCGAUGAUGCGUAGCCGGCCUGAGAGGGUGAACGGCCACAUUGGGACUGAGACACGGCCCAGACUCCUACGGGAGGCAGCAGUAGGGAAUUUUCGGCAAUGGGGGGAACCCUGACCGAGCAACGCCGCGUGAACGAUGAAGUCUUCGGAUUGUAAAGUUCUGUUGUACGGGAAGAACGGUAUGGAGAGGAUCCAUAAGUGACGGUACCGUACCAGAAAGCCCGGCUAACUACGUGCCAGCAGCCGCGGUAUACGAGUGCGAGCGUAUCCGGAAUAUUGGGGUAAAGGUGCGUAGGGUCUGUUCGUUCUGGUUAACGCUGUGGGGCUCAACCCCAUAAAGCCACGGAUACUGGCAGACUAGAGUACUGGAAAGGGCAGUGGAAUUCCAUGUGUAGCGGUAAAAUGCGUAGAUAUAUGGAGGAACACCGGUGGCGAAGGCGGCUGCCUGGACAGAGACUGACGCUGAGGCACGAAAGCGUGGGGAGCAAAUAGGAUUAGAUACCCUAGUAGUCCACGCCGUAAACGAUGGAUACUAAGUAUUGGGGCAACUCAGUGCUGCAGUUAACGCAAUAAGUAUCCCGCCUGUGGAGUAUGCACGCAAGUGUGAAACAUAAAGGAAUUGACGGGGGCCCGCACAAGCGGUGGAGUAUGUGGGUUUAAUUCGACGCACGCGAAGACCUUACAGGCCUUGACAUCCCGUGCAAGGUAUAGAGAUAUCCGGAGGUUACCAAGGUGACAGGUGGUGCAUGGUUGUCGUCAGCUCGUGUCGUGAGAUGUUGGGUUAAGUCCCGCAACGAGCGCAACCCUUGUCUUCAGUUACCAAUAUCAAGUUAGGGACUCUGGAGAGACUGCCGGUGAUAAACCGGAGGAAGGUGGGGAUGACGUCAAGUCCUCAUGGCCCUUACGGGCUGGGCUACACACGUACUACAAUGGCGAAUACAAAGGGAAGCAAGCGUGCGAACGCAAGAUCCAUGGCCGCAGAGA